RNA transcript from Prunus dulcis (almond), 2721 nucleotides. It is a transcript of the gene named protein SCAI, with no coding region annotated. The transcript is spliced from 9 exons. Lineage: Eukaryota; Viridiplantae; Streptophyta; Magnoliopsida; Rosales; Rosaceae. The record is from RefSeq and is a predicted model, not a curated record.
CACAUGUUUGCAAAUGACAAAAUUUAACACAAAAAGAGGGAAAAAAAAAAAAAAAAGGAAAAAAAAAAGUCACGGAUCAAAUCACCCAAUAUCUCCCACGCCGCCACUGUAAUUCACAAAUUCAGUGACCAAAAACAAACAAAACCAAAAACCAAAAUCCCCAAACCAGAAAAAGAAAAGAAAAGAAAAUCACAAAAAAUAUAAAACAAAGCGAAGUCCAUUUCUUCUCUGUCUUCUUUCUCUCUCUCUCUCUGCUCUGUCUAUGGUCUAUAAAAGCUACUACACCUUUUCCGAUGACCUCCGGGGGCCGUAAUUACUGAAACAAAGGCUGCUCCUGCUGCUUUUAACUGGCCACAUGUCCGACAACGAUGUCGUUUCGGGGACUUUCCGAGCGCUGGUGGAGAGCGCGGACCGGAAGUUCGCUAGGGUUCGCGACGUGCCGGCGUACGGACGUGUCCACAACCAGCACUACUUCCACAAGGUCUUCAAGGCCUACAUGCGCCUCUGGAAGUACCAGCAGGAGAAACGGUCCAAGCUUAUCGAGGCCGGUCUGAACCGCUGGGAAAUCGGCGAGAUCGCGAGCCGGAUCGGCCAGCUCUACUUCGGCCAGUACAUGAGGACCAGCGAGGCCAGGUUCCUCGUCGAGGCCUACGUCUUCUACGAGGCCAUUCUUAGCCGGAGCUACUUUGAGGGGUCCAAUUCCAGUUCCAAAGCUUUCGGGAAGAAGGAUCUCGGCGUUCGGUUCAAGGAGUUGAGGUUCUACGCCCGGUUUUUGCUCGUUUCGUUGAUUUUGAACCGGACCGAGAUGGUUCAACUUCUCGCUGAGCGGUUCAAGGCUCUUGUUGAUGACUGCAAAGCCAAUUAUCGGGAAACUAAUUUUAAAGAAUGGAGGCUAGUGGUGCAAGAAAUUGUUCGAUUUAUGAAAGUUGAUACGGCCUUUAUGAAUGUCAGGCCAUUGCGAUACUCCACCUUGUUUGAUUCACAUCCGUCAUCUCUUCCAUAUGUGGCUCGUUUCCAUGCAAAGAGGGUUUUAAAAUUUCAAGAUGCAUUGCUGACAAGCUAUCAUCGUAAUGAGGUCAAAUUUGCUGAACUUACAUUGGACACUUACCGAAUGCUGCAAUGUUUGGAAUGGGAGCCAAGCGGGUCUUUCUACCAAAAGCGUGCAGUGGAAUCCAAAGAGAAUGGCACUUUUAUUGAUCACUCCGGGGCUUCUGCCGCAUCUGGAGUAAUCGAUAUGAACUUGGCUGCGGACAUGACUGAUCCAACUUUACCUCCAAAUCCAAGGAAAGCGGUUAUUUACCGUCCAUCUGUGACACAUUUGAUUGCGGUGAUGGCUACAAUAUGCGAGGAGCUCCCUCUCGACAGUAUUAUGCUAGUGUAUCUGUCAGCCUCAGGGAAGGCUGGUCGUAAUAAUGUUACUCAGGCGUACAACUCUGGAGGAUCACAUAAAUCCUCAAAAAAUAAAGUUCCUCUCCCAGCUCAGAAUAAUUCUAUGCCUGAAUCUUGUAUAAACAACAAGGGAGAGUCAAGUGGCUAUUAUGACCAAUAUUUGUGGUUUGGCCCUAGAGGAAAUGGUGGUUUGAGUAACCUCUACCCUGGCGACAUAAUUCCUUUUACUCGGAGACCUCUUUUCUUGAUAAUAGAUAGUGACAACAGCCAUGCAUUCAAGGCAGGUUUUACAUGGUGCGGAAAGAGGAGAGACAGCUGCUCUGUUUCUUUCACCUUUGAGACCAGCAUUCAAGAACCCAGCUGAUGCUGAUUUGAUGCAAAAUGGAAGUCAGUUUACCUUUUUCUUGACUGCUCCUCUGUCAGCAUUCUGCCAAUUAGUUGGCUUCUCCUCUUCUGAUACUGAAGCAGAGGUUUAUAACAAUGCUGAAAGCAUCCUCUCUGCUGCCUUCUCUGAGUGGGAAGUUAUUCUUUGUACAUCAACAAGCCUGGAUCUGGUAUGGGCACAAGUUAUUUCUGAUCCAUUUCUGCGGCGACUUAUUCUGAGAUUUAUUUUCUGCAGAGCUGUGCUUUCAUUCUUCUGUCCUCCAGAAGAUAGCGAGCAGUAUUUGCCGAUUUGCCUACCUCUUCUUCCCAUUUCUGUUUCUCCAGAUUCUGAAGUUGUGCAGUCUGCCGUCCACCGGGUUGCAAAGCACCUCAACGUCUCUGACUUUUUUCACUUUGUUGACACAUGAUUACUUGAUUAGAUAUCAAAGCUAGAUUGUAAGUAUAGCAUUGCAUCUUCUGGGGGUUAACGUCUCGUAUAUCCGGUUUGACCACAGCACAGAUCAAUCAACUGGGCUUAUUGGGUUUGAGAAGAUACUGGUUGAUAAGCGCAAAAUAUAGAGAAAAUGUUUGAGCGUGGUCAUGCAGCCCUGUUGUUUCUCGAUGAUGUAUGGUGGUUUAGUUGUAUGAUCAUUAUAGUACGGUGUGAACUUUGCCAGGUGAAACUUUGGAGCUUUUUCAAAUUACAUAUAAUUGUCAAUACCUUUGUAAAAGAAAAUCAGCUAGUGAAAUGAGAUAUAAAUUUUUUUUUCUUUCUAGCCUUUCUUGGCGGCACCGUUACAUUCUUGGUGAAGCUUAGGUAGAUGUAAACAGGUACCGAGGAGUUUAUUGAAGGCCUCUGGUACUGAUUCUAGAAUUCGAUUUGAGUUUUUGGUUUGUAUUGUUUUAGUUUUUACUAUUGCUCAUUUUUGCCGGGGGACUUGGUAUAAAAGGCUUUCUUUGUUCUUUAAA